Molecule: ribosomal RNA, 508 nt
Filed under: Glomus sp. Glo25
Lineage: Eukaryota; Fungi; Glomeromycota; Glomeromycetes; Glomerales; Glomeraceae
Description: SSU rRNA
Rfam family: Eukaryotic small subunit ribosomal RNA
Source: RNAcentral
AGCAGCCGCGGUAAUUCCAGCUCCAAUAGCGUAUAUUAAAGUUGUUGCAGUUAAAAAGCUCGUAGUUGAAUUUCGGGGUUAGUAGAUUGGUCAUGCCUUUGGUAUGUACUGGUCUUACUGAUUCCUCCUUCCUGAUGAACCGUAAUGCCAUUAAUUUGGUGUUGCGGGGAGACUGGACUGUUACUUUGAAAAAAUUAGAGUGUUUAAAGCAGGCUAACGCUUGAAUACAUUAGCAUGGAAUAAUGAAAUAGGACGUUCGAUCUUAUUUUGUUGGUUUCUAGGAUUGACGUAAUGAUUAAUAGGGAUAGUUGGGGGCAUUAGUAUUCAAUUGUCAGAGGUGAAAUUCUUGGAUUUAUUGAAGACUAACUACUGCGAAAGCAUUUGCCAAGGAUGUUUUCAUUAAUCAAGAACGAAAGUUAGGGGAUCGAAGACGAUCAGAUACCGUCGUAGUCUUAACCAUAAACUAUGCCGACUAGGGAUCGGAUGAUGUUAAUUUUUUAAUGACUCA